CAGCUUCCACUGAGGAAGUGAGAAGUUUCAAACUGAUCCAGACGCAAUAGAAUUAUAUACUUUCAAAGCCAUCAGCAAAGCUUGAACUACUUUCUAUUUUACAUAUUUUUUCUUCUGAGGUUCAAAAUGCCAGCAGCACCACCUCGCCAUCCAUCUGGGAUCCAAAUCCUUUGUUGAGCAGAGGGCUGCGUACGUGUCUCAAGCAGACACUGGCUCUCAGCAGUUAAAUGCUUUGGGAUGCAACUGAACUAGGCUUUUCAGCUGGACUGUGUUUGAACGAAUGAAAAUCAUGUAGAAGUUCUGCUUCCUCCUGUGUACUCUUGUGGACCUAGAAAUGGAGUCAGCUUCUUCCUCAUGGAAAUAAAGAAUGUCACCACCAUGAAUGUCCAUUGGCAAACUGGCUGAGAAAGAGUGUCACAGUGCAGGACAACCUAGAAGAUGACAGGCACAGAAAUGUUGGACUGGACUCAAAGCCAAUGAGG
Long non-coding RNA from Nothoprocta perdicaria, 482 nucleotides. RefSeq lists it as uncharacterized. The record is from RefSeq and is a predicted model, not a curated record. NCBI's taxonomy places the organism in Eukaryota, Metazoa, Chordata, Aves, Tinamiformes, Tinamidae. The transcript is spliced from 4 exons.